ACUACCGACACACAGGAGUACACAGGUAAAUACUACCGACACACAGGAGUACACAGGUAAAUACUACCGACACACAGGAGUACACAGGUAAAUACUACCGAUACACAGGAGUACACAGGUAAAUACUACCGACACACAGGAGUACACAGGUAAAUACUACCGACACACAGGAGUACACAGGUAAAUACUACCGACACACAGGAGUACACAGGUAAAUACUACCGAUACACAGGAGUACACAGGUAAAUACUACCGAUACACAGGAGUACACAGGUAAAUACUACCGAUACACAGGAGUACACAGGUAAAUACUACCGACACACAGGAGUACACAGGUAAAUACUACCGACACACAGGAGUACACAGGUAAAUACUACUAAUAUACAGGAGCACAUAGGUAAAUACUACCGAUACACAGGAGUACACAGGUAAAUACUACCGAUACACAGGAGUACACAGGUAAAUACUACCGACACACAGGAGUACACAGGUAAAUACUACCGAUACACAGGAGUACACAGGUAAAUACUACCGAUACACAGGAGUACACAGGUAAAUACAACGCAGGCUGAUGUUGUGUGUCUGUGUUGUGUGUCUGUGUUGUGUGUCUGUCAGG
Molecule: long non-coding RNA, 616 nt
Organism: Hippoglossus stenolepis (Pacific halibut)
Lineage: Eukaryota; Metazoa; Chordata; Actinopteri; Pleuronectiformes; Pleuronectidae
Exons: 3
Source: RefSeq, a predicted model, not a curated record